This is a long non-coding RNA of Vigna angularis (adzuki bean), 705 nucleotides long. RefSeq lists it as uncharacterized. The transcript has 5 exons. NCBI's taxonomy places the organism in Eukaryota, Viridiplantae, Streptophyta, Magnoliopsida, Fabales, Fabaceae. The record is from RefSeq and is a predicted model, not a curated record.
UGGAGGUUGAGGCCAAAAAAGCUCACUGGAAAGAAUCACAUUUGGACAUCCAUUGGUGGUUACGAGAUAAAAGGGUUGGCUUUCUCAACAAUAAACCCGAACUGCAUCUAUAUUCAAGGGGUUGAUUAUGAGGUUUUCAUGAUUUAAAGUUUUAAGCCAUGGAAAAUCAAGCUCCUUUAAUUAUACCAAUGCUGUUAACACUUUGGUUAUUCCAAGAUAUGGAGCAAGUGGAGACUAAUCCUUCUUGUACUGACUUAGCAUAUGAGAAGGCUAUUUCAGAUGGUGUGGAUGUUCUUGACUGUCCUGUUUAAAUGUCCAAGGAUGGAAUACGUUUUUGCUUAAGCUAUAUUGAUCUUAUUGGGCUGUAAAGUAUUUAUUAUUAUCUGUGCAAUUUUCUGUUGUUGCUUUCAUCUCUAAAUUGUACUAAUGUAUCGUGUUGUGCAUGGCAGAGGCAGAACUCCUUACAGCUCCACCAAGUUGGUACAAAUCCUCUGCUCAAUCACUUUGACAUGAAUGGCACGAUCCAUUCACAAAUACAGUGUGCUCCUUCGUCAUCUUUUUCUAUCUGCUUACAUCCUAUAGGGGUAUGUUCUGUUUCAAAAUCAUUGCUAAUUGUGUUUAGUACCAGUUGUCUGCUCAAACAUGCUGACGGACUCCUUGUUACUCUCUGCUUAAGGUUUGAAGGAGUUGUAGAGUUUCCUUGAG